AAGAGGCUGCGAGGUAUCCAGGGAAGGGAAAUGGCUGACCUAUUCAGACCGAUCCUUUGGCUAAUGUUACAAGCCUCCGUGGAAGGAACACCAUGAAUCUUGGUAGCUUACGUGAAUAUGCUAUGGAACGACAGACAGCUUGCUCUUAGUACAUCUGGUGCGUUGUGAAGAACAUUGGUAUUAACACUUGAGACUCAGAACAGUGUAUCUGCGAGUCAGUGGAGGAACGGCAUACCAGAUGACUAACUGUGCAAGAUGCAUCUGGAGCAGGAUGGAAGAUGCAUCACAGAUGAGGGGAAAGAGACCGUCGUGUACACAAAUGGUGGUAAUAACUGUGAGUCGAAGCUACUCACGACUGACAAAUCAUCACAGCAUUCCUCGCUUGAUUCCAAAUUCCUCCUCAUGUUAGUGACAAUUUCUGGCACAAAGUACCAGAACAGUCCACGGAAGAUGCCAUCUCUCAGCCGUCACCCAGAUGUGAUUUCAAGUCAUGUAAACAUUAAGCGAGCCACUGCAUCCCUGUUGACAGGGUCCAUGCAUAAUUACACGCUUUGAUGACUCAGUCGGUAAAUCUGGCAUGAGUCAGCAUCAUGUCCUACGACACAGUCACACGUGUGAAGAUGUCCAGGAGGAACUGCCAUCAGAAUCUGAAGGCUGAGCUGAUGAUUUUGGCCAUGACAUCCUGUGGGUUCUAGGUCCCUCUUUUGUUUAUAGAUGCCUCCUCUACAGAACCACACGGCUCCUCAACCUCACACUUACUAACAUUUUGAACAGACUGCUAGCAGUGUUCUUGACCCAUAUAUGCUGGAUACCCACUCACCCUACUCUAGAGUUGGAACAAAUAUCAAUGUGUCCAGACAUUGCCAAGUAAACUCUGGGGGCAAAAUUGCCCUGAGUUGAGAAAUACUGGGCUACAAAACAAUAUUACCUCUUUAGGUUAGCACUUGUAUUGCUUAUGUCAAGGGUUUAAGGUGUUGAAAGGAAGCCUAUACAUGACCUGUGAGAAACAAGAUAACUAGACAGAGUAAUAGCUAGCCAUGUUCCAAGGUGCAUUAGAGCAGAGCUCAGCUUAGUUCAAGCAGUGGAAUGUCUACUGGGUGGUGUUACACAGACUCCUCCUUCCCUUCCUUUUCCCUUUCUCCCCCCUUUCUUCCCCCUCCUAUUUAAAUGAUGCAAUUUGGUGCAUAGAAUGAAUGAGAUAAAUAUAUU
Mus musculus (house mouse) is the source of this 1209-nucleotide long non-coding RNA. RefSeq annotates it as predicted gene, 35291. Lineage: Eukaryota; Metazoa; Chordata; Mammalia; Rodentia; Muridae. The transcript is spliced from 4 exons. The record is from RefSeq and is a predicted model, not a curated record.